AGACAGAGGGUGCAAACGUUGCUCGGAAUUACUGGGCGUAAAGCGCGAGUAGGCGGUUUCGCAAGUCUUGUGUGAAAGCCCGGGGCUCAACCCCGGAAGUGCACAGGAUACUACGGAGCUUGAGUACUGAAGAGGAGAGCGGAAUUCCCGGUGUAGAGGUGAAAUUCGUAGAUAUCGGGAGGAACACCAGUGGCGAAGGCGGCUCUCUGGGCAGAUACUGACGCUGAGACGCGAAAGAGUGGGUAGCAAACAGGCUUAGAUACCCUGGUAGUCAACGCUGUAAACGAUGAGAACUGGGUGUUGUGGGUAUUGACCCCCGCGGUGCCGAAGCCAACGCGUUAAGUUCUCCGCCUGGGAAGUACGGCCGCAAGGCUAAA
This 377-nucleotide ribosomal RNA is filed under the name uncultured bacterium. Its description in RNAcentral is "bacterial SSU rRNA". It matches the Rfam family "Bacterial small subunit ribosomal RNA", at positions 523 to 898 of the family's 1533-position model. The record is from RNAcentral.